GAUUUUUUUCUUAUCCAAAUCAUGUUGAGGUCAUCGGGAGCUUGUACGCAUGCGGUCUGAUUACACGCACCCUUGAGAUUAGACCUUUCUACAUCGAUUGCUAGUGAAAUGUGGGCACGUCCAGAGAGUAUGGCAACCUCUCCUGGAACAGUUCGCUUCACAGUGGACAUGCAGAAGGAUUCUUUUAGUGGGUGACUGAAGGAAGCCCCAGCAGUCAGCAGUGGCAAGGAGGCUUUGUCGAUGCCAAACUCACUUCCUGAAAAUUCAUGCUGCG
RNAcentral lists this long non-coding RNA (274 nucleotides) under Anser brachyrhynchus (Pink-footed goose). Its description in RNAcentral is "lncRNA (ENSABRG00000015605.1)". The record is from RNAcentral. Lineage: Eukaryota; Metazoa; Chordata; Aves; Anseriformes; Anatidae.